GUUACUUUUAUUUAUGUCAAGUAUAAAAGGAAUUGCAUGAUAAGUUUUUAUAUGAUAAUUUUAAUGUAGAUCUUUAUUUCUCAACAAAAACCCGUAGGCAUUAGAUAAUUCUAAAUACAGUUCAUUUAAGGGGAAAACGUAUGUUUCCUUUCAUCGACUUUUACUGUCCGAUCAUAUUGUUUUUUGGCUCCCAAUGGAACCCUAUAAAUAGAAAAAAGGGAUCCCAGUGGAAUGCAUUCGAUCUCUAGCCUAGCUUGUGCAUAAGGUUAGAGAGGAAAAUCAAGAAUCUCUUGUUACAAAGUAACAUAGGGAACAUAGUUUGAAAGAAGUUUGAAGAAUGAACCAUUGUACCUCCAAAGCCAAAGAGAAAAUUCAUGCAGUGUGCUGGAAUAUUACUAUACCAUCAUCAUCAUCAUCAUCACCAACCAUGACAAGAAGAUAUCAGCAGACCUUCAUUUCAUGGCGGUUUUUGCUUCUUUUCGUUAUCUCCCUUCUGCUAACUACCUUUCCUGUAAGUCAUCAAAUGACGAACGACGUCGACGAAUCAACAUUCGGAGGACACCGUCUGAAGAUAAAACUGAUAAGAGGUUCAGUCCGGCUUUAAAUAUCUUGAAAAUUAAUCAUCUAUAUAUGGCUUGCAACUACCAGUCUAGAUAAUCUGUCUGCCUUCGAUGAAGUUUGUUGCAUCUAAUUUUACUGUCAUGGGUUAUGCACAAUAAGUGGAUACAAGGUUUUCCCUUACGCAGUGAAUGCAUAAUAGUCAGUUCUUAAGAGUGAAAUGUCCUCUUUUUUCAUAUCGAGGAAAAGGAAAAGUUCUUCUGCGUCCGCCAUCUCUUCCGUUCUUAUGAAUUCUCUCUGAAACCUCAUGCAAUUUUUCAUCAGCAUUAUUUCUCUGAGGAAUUCCAUUGAAGCAAAGCUAUUGGGAUGAUAGUGCUGACUUUAGGUUUCUUUUCGUAAAGAGAAGUUGUAAAUAUAUAAUAAGAAAUUCGAUCUCUAUUAACCUAAAAUUGUUGCUUUUUCUUUUGUACUGCAACAACAACACUAAAUUAUUCCCGUGAAUUAUAUCAAUUUGGAAAGAAAUUAGGCUUUUUGCCGUAAAGUUAUGGCGGAGAAAACGAAGAGAGACUCAAAUUGUAAGACUAUCUUUUUUUGAAAACAUGGCUACAACAGCAAUCGAUGAUUCUGAAGGUACUAUUGUUGAUAAUGGUGUGGAGAUCAUGAUGUAGCUAUUCGUGAUUGUUUUUGGAAUCAUUAAUUGCGGUUGAAGAUAAUAAAAUUUAAAGUAGAAGCAAAUCCUAGGGUUUUAUCUGGGCUUUAGCAAGAGAAUCAAUCGCUUGAAGGAUGUAUCAGUGCCACAUCAAUGACAACGAUGGCGAAGUUUAAAAUAUAAAGUUCAACUCUAAUUAAUGGAUAUUGGUAAACCUCUUGCGAAAGGUGAUCGGGAUAGGAUAGACAGGACUGCCGCCUAUGCUAAGCAGCUAAAGUACAAUGAAGGAAGUUACUAAAUGGAAGACAUUAGUGAAGAGAAACAUGGAUGUGCCUACAAUUUUCUUUGGCAACUUAAUGUGGUGGUUGUCUCUGGGACAAAGAUGAUCGUCGGAUUGGGCGAUCCUGUGUCCUGGAAAGACUGGCAGCGAGAGUAAUUCGGGGCCGUUGAUUUGGGCGAGGUAUAUUUUUGAACAUUGGAUGCCCUGGGUUCCCGAUUUGACUGUGUUUCCUUAGACGAAAAAAAAGAAACAUGCUAUAUCUUUUCUGACUGCCACCGUUCUUCUGAAUUAUCUCUUCUGAAACUGCAUGCAAACCCUUUUCUCGAUUCUAUCUUUGAGUUCCCGAGCUUACCAUUCCAUUGAUAGGUUAAUGAACUUUCCCUGAGUAAUUCCAUUGAAGCAAAGCUGUUGGGAUAACACGUUGAUGUUUUAGGUAAUCCUAAUCUUUAUGUAUUCAAUCUAUUUUGUGCUCGAAAUAUCACUGAGGAAGGCCCAAUCAUAAUAUCACCAUGAGACAAGAUAACACCAUUGAGCUCUGUGAAAUAUGUUGGAGAUUCUACUCUUAUGCCUUGGAAAUCUCCUUCUCAUUAUUGUUUGACAGCAACAAGGAGCUUGGGUAAAUUAGGUUGCACUUGAGUUGGUUAGCUCGACCAAACUUAUCUUAUUAAUUAAAGUUUUUUGUUUGUUUUGUUUUUCUAAGCCUGAUUAUCUAGACAUGCCAGGGAAUCAAUGUUGUGUCACUUUGGGGUCCAAAUUGUUGACAUUUUCCUGGAAAAACAAGGUUCCUAAGUGGGGGUUUAAUCAACUUUCAGGAGCUCUAAUCUCUACUUGCCGAAAGUGAAAUGCUGCUCAAGACUUCGUUUCUGUAGAUGACUGCUUAGGUUUACUGAGUAAGCUGAAGGUAACCUCUCUUCUUACUAUCCCUUUAUGUCUAUGAAUAAUUUGCGCUUAAGUGUCACUAUAUUUGUUGUCUUUGCUCAAAUGGCAGAGCACAUGGUUCUCGAUCAUGUAGUUGUGGGUUCGACUCCCACAGAUGGCAUUGUUAUUAUUCGAGUAGGUGAAAACGAAUAAAAUUAUUUGCGCCAUAUAGCUAAUAUUUCCUUCCUCGCCACCCGUACCUCUUAUGAAAAACUCAAGAAAAUUGUUUUCUCCCUCUCGAUUCACCUUGCUGAGUGAUUUUGUGAUGUAAUGAUUGGAUUUGACUCAUCAGAAGCUAUCAAUGGAAGCCCGGUGUUGAUUAUAUUGUGUCAGGUGUGUCAAAAACUUUGUAAUUUAUCUUUUUUUUGUUUGCAAGUCUGUCUUCUGAUUAUUUCGAGUAAUUGAUUGCAUCAAUCUCAAUACCUCAAUUCCAAACCGAAAUUUAGCGUCAUGAAGUGGUUUGUAAGUUUGGAUUAGGAUUUUUGUUUACUUUGUUAAUCUAUCUUAUUUUUCUGGAUUUAGUUAGAGUUUUUGUUUGAUUGAUGCUGACGAAGAAAAUGGGUUUAAUUAGGUUUUUUUUAUUAGAAUUAUUAGUGUUUUAUUUCAUAAAUUGAUCAAUGGAGAACCUAAACCAGAGAGACAUAAAGAGAGAAAAUGAAGCCAAUAUCCCUAUGGUUCCUGGCUGUUUGAAUUUAACGCGUAAAAUAGCCUUUUCACCUGUCUAUUUUUUUUUUUGAUACAAGAACGAUGUUCCGACGAAUUUUCAUCUGUUCUUCUCCGAUCAAUUUUUGCUUUUACGCAGGAACCUUGAAUUGCUUUACAAAAAAAAAAAGGAACCUUGAUAUUUUGAUUGUCUGCCUCUUUUAUUUUGAUUCUUCCUUGCUUCCAUGACGUUUUUCAUUUAGGUUUGUUGAUUUUUAUUCAGAUUUUAAACCAGGCCAAAGUAAAACGAUUAGUUAGUGAAAUUUAUUAGCUUUAGUAAUUUUUUUGGUUUGGAGAUUGAUAGAUUAAUGGGAAGCUUAUCUUCUUUAUCUUAUCUAGAUUCUAGCAGCUUUCCCGCGUAACUCUUCUCAGAUUUGUAUUUGAUUAGGCUUUUUGAUUAUUUUUCUGGUGUGGUUUGAUUAGGGUUUUUAGUUUUUGAUGUUGUUUUCUUCACUACUUUGGUUAGAGAACAUGAAUAGGAGCUCUCUCUCCAUCUCGCAAUUUUUUUUUGAUUAGGUUGCUCGGCAACAAAGUUUUAAAUUCUUGCACCACCCUCUUCAGGUAAUUGUGAAAUUUUGAUUUUGAAUAUCCUUUAUAACUCAGCAAUGGAGUAUAUUACAAUGGUUGUUUUUGUUUUGUACAUUUAGAAUUGUGUAACAGAUCCCGAUUAACCUAAUAUCCAAAACAUUAUGUUAUUCCACUCUGAUAUUCUUCCAGAUAUGUAUUUUUCUAGAUACACAUUAACUUGGACCUUUGUUAUGUCCGACAAGGGAAACCCUUGAAGUAUUAAGAUUCCCCUUUUUCAACUACUAAGUUUAAUAUCAUUCUUGAACUUCUGAACUCUUAAAUCUCUCUUUGUUAGUGCAUAUUUAACUGUUAAAGCAUAAAAUUAACUACAAGAAUGUAUAUCUAUUUUUGUCUGUCAAACUUCUCCAUGUUUUCUACUACUGAAGUGUUUUUGUUUCCUUUUAUUCCGUAGGAAUUCAAUGAAGAUUUUGUCUCUUUUGGGUUUCUUAAUUAGCUUAUGAGUGAAUUGCAGUACUGGAAUAAUGACAAGCAAGUAUUACUAUAAUUGUAUAGUAUUGGCAUUUAUAUGGUUUGAAGCUGUGUUUAUUUUUCCGUGUACUCGAUUCUCAAUUCUUUCUAUACACGUUGGGAACUAUGCAGCUUUAUGGGACUCGAACAAAAACCACCACAAGAUUUAGAUUUGUAACCAACUGCCUCAUUAUUUUCUUCGAUAUACUAAAAAUAUCAUUAGACUUUGAGUCAACUGCCUAGGUAUCUUGGAUCGUUUAUUUUCGUAUGUCAUUUAUUAGGAUCUACUGUUCAAAUAAAUUGAAUAUUUUGGAAGAGAAUUCGUAGUUGCUUGAACUGUCAGAACAUUUGGUGGUCUUCUGCUAAUGCUAGCAAACACGGACCCAAUUCAACAUUGUUAGAACAUUUAGGACCAUAAUGACACUCUGGCUUCGAAGUAACAUUUUUGGUACCAAAACCAAUAAAAGUUAUCAUGGUUUCUUCUUUUAAGUAUUUGGUAUAGAAUCCAAGUAAAAAAGUUGAAUAACAAGGCACCAAUUUACAUGGCAUAGCUGAAGAGUUUCAAUAUCAUUGUCUUUGGGGUCUCAUGGAAGUGAAACCUAAUGGGUUUUUCUAUCUCUUUAGUCAGUAUUUCAUAUUGAAAAUGUGACAGUAUAACUUCGUGGAACCAAACGAAAUACCAAAGACAAGCAUACCAUACCAAGUAUGGUGCACGAAUUGAUAGAUUAAUUAAAAAAACAUUAAAACAGGCAGAAUGAUACAGAACGUUUACCUGUAUCAAGAGGUCUCCUUCCCAUUGGACAUCUGCCAUGUGAAGGAAGCUAAUAAUUGAUUUGGUAAUAAUUGAUUUGGUUCUAUUACAGGUUCCUUACCCUAAAAUGAUAUUCAAUGAAUUUGUGCAAGAGCGUUGUCUCCAAAAGUCCGGUAAGAACCUGAACAAAUUAUCUUUGUGGACUCUCUCCUCUUCACAGACCGACCUAAGAAUAAUAUAACAAGGAAUCCAGUAGUCGCAUCCGGCAAUGUGAUUACCAACAUUGGGUUGGAUGGAGCCUGCAGAUUCAAUAGUUGACACUUUUGGUUCAAUGUCCAUUCCAACGUAACCUCAUUACUGAACCAUUCUUUGCCAUUUUACUUUCUUAUAUUCGUCGACCUACACAUUUGGCAUUAACUGUAUGUAUCUGCUGUUGUAUACAUAUCCAUUCAUGCUUAAAAUUUUACGUCGUACUAUCUAGAAGAAUUUUGUGGACCGUCUGAUGAUGAUGACGACAUGGAUACACAGAGUAUUGUAAACCAGAAAGCUGAUCUAGACCUAUCUGGCUAGGCAAUAAGCAAGUCUCAUUGAAACUGCACUGGCUGGGCCAUAAGCAGGACUCAUUAAAACUGCAGUAAUGCACACCUUUGUUCCAUCUACUUAUGAUGGAACAGCAUGUCCGAAGAUCAUCUGUCUCCUACAUUGCUAAGAAGUCAACCUUAUAUGAGAUGUGAUAGCUAUUGAGAGGUGCAAAGCAGAUUCGUUGGAGAUAUCACACUUUGCCUUACAAAUGCUGACCUACGAAGUGUAUGCAACAAUCAGUGAAUAUGCGAAAAAUCAAUGAACCACUGAACUGUUCAUGCUUGGUGAAAAAUCAUAUAUCAUGCUUGGCGAAAAGGCAUAGAUGGUAGUUAGGAAUAUGAUUACCAGAAAGUAAGGGAAUUCAAAACACAUGGGUGGUGGUGGGUUUAGGACCCUCUCUAGAGAAUAUGGUUCCUGGGAUUGGGAUUCCCUUCCCACCAUCCAAAUAUGUUGUACGUGAUCACACCUAGAAGAUUUACACAAGGCCUUGAAGCUUUAUGAAGAAGAACAGGUAGCAGCUGGAUCCUAAACAAUUUUUUUUGGCAAACACUUAGAGGUAAUUCUGAUGGCAAGAAAAACCUUUAAAUCUGGCCACUCAACUUAUUCAAAUCUUCAUCCGCUUUCAAACUACAUAACCUUUAAAUAUGAGUGGGUCAUAUUCUUUGUUAUUUGCGGCUGUUCGAUGCAAGUUUGUUUUUUACAUAGUUUCUGGAUCCUUUUCCUCAUCUUUCAGAGCACUUUAAACACGGUAAAGGGUUCUAUGUUUUUUUUUAAAUUCUGUUUGAUUUUUCAAAUUUAGAUUUGUAUUAUUGUUUAUGUAACUGUGUAUAUUGCAACAAUAUCUAAUUGGGUGUAUGGCGCAUCGACUUAUCUAUUGUACGAGAUUGCUGAAUUUGGUGAUUUAUGUUAUGUGAAAUUAAAGUUUUUCAACUGCUCUGAUUUCCAAUUCAUUGUUGAAAAGCUGUAAUCAUCUCUUCAGACUAAACUUAAUUGGGUAUAUAUCUCAGCACCUGCUGUAGCUUAUUUAGGACGUCUCGCAGCUGAUUUAUGGGCGAUGGACGAAGUGAUUUUUCCUGCAAACAUAUUCAUAUUCGAUUGGAUUCCUAUCUUGGAAUUUAAGGGUUCAAAUGUAUUCUGGAGAACACCACAACCCUGAGUAUGUUAUGAAAUGGUAUCUGCUGUCUUAGCUCAAACGGAAGAGCACAUGGUUCUCAACCAUGUAGUUGUGGUCGACUCCUACAGAUGGCAUUAUAUGUGAGUAGGCAGCGCUGUAUACUGCCAAUGGUUUCGUUAUUUGAUUCUCUCGGAGUGGGACUCCAACAUAAGAUUUGGAUGAAUAAUAAACUCUUGGCUAUACUCUUGAGGUUUUGUUCUCUCGGAGUGGGACUCCAACAUAACAUAUGGAUGAAUAAUAAACUCUUGGCUAUACUCUUGAGGUUUUGUUCUUGAAGAAGCACGAUUCUGCCGUCAGCGCAUAUUUAACCAGAUGAAGUUUUGUUACAGAGUUCUUCAUUUAUUCUAUUAGGUGCACUUUGGUUUCAUUCAGUUUUUGAAGGGAUAGCCAUUGGAAUUGCAGGUAUUCUACUAACCGUUGCAAUAUGAAACUGGACAAGACGUUCACAUACUUAGAAACGAUCCUGGGCUUGAUUGAGGGUGGAGAGUGGUUCCACAUGGUACAUAAGAAAUGCAGUAAAAAAGUUGAUUAUGAUGAUGAGUCUUCCUGCAGCAAGUACAAAAAAGAUUUUGAAGAAGUGCCAUGGCAAUUGUAAUCCACAAAUUAAACCUAGCCGCAAGGGAUGCCACAUCAACUGCGGUAUUUACUGUGAUGGGAGAGACUGCGGAAAAAAACGGCGGAAAGUAGAUUAGAUGCACUGCUGAUGAACAUGUUAAUUACAAGGUACACUGCAGCGAGGUAUGCACAAAUUAGCAUGGAUAAUUGUUAUGAUUGAAUGGAUGUUGUACGGUGGAAUCAUGUUCACCAAGUUAUAUUGUCUAAUUGGAGGUCAACUAAGCAGAGCAGGCAGAAAGUUGAUUUAACAAGAUCAAGAUGAAACUCUUAUUUUCAAAUUGGUCAGUAGGUAGUGCAGUAUAACCAACCAAUCUGGCAAAUUCACAGUUCUAAAAUUUUUCGAAGUCAGAUAAUUUUGAAUCGAAAGAUUCAGAUUCAGUUGCAGAUAACAAGGUACAACAUUAAUUAGGUACGGUAUGAUACGGAUUUCGUCCUGUCCACAGGAUCCAGACGCAGAAAAUGGUGUGCCACCUAUCAAGGAGAAAGAGGAAAAAGUUAAGAGAGGAAGGAAGAGGAAACCAACAACUAAAGUUGGAGUAACAGCAUGAAAGCACCAAGGAUACCAGUCAAAACCGGUCAAAGCCGGAUAACUAUCAGGGAGACGAGCUUCAAGAUGUCAUCCCCAAGAAUCUUCCAAAUAAGAGAUAAAGAUAGUUGAUCCAUGAAUAUUCGAUCUUUCUGUUUGCCAAACUCGACCUUUCGGGGAGAAACCAAGGCCUUCGGACUGCAAAUUUAAAUUACCUCAGGGAGUUGUAAAUUACCACUGGACCAAGUAUUGUUCUAUGUAUACUUUUAACCUAGGAAUCUACGAUGGCGUAGGGCUGAGUGUGCAUAAAAAAUCAAAAUAGGCUAAAUACAUUUGGUGAAUAAAAAUCUUAAAUUUAUAUGUAUACUUUUAACCUACAAAAACUGAUGAUUUUUCUAAGCUUAAACCGUUAUAUGCUUCUUAGAA
Papaver somniferum (opium poppy) is the source of this 8216-nucleotide long non-coding RNA. RefSeq lists it as uncharacterized. The transcript has 14 exons. Lineage: Eukaryota; Viridiplantae; Streptophyta; Magnoliopsida; Ranunculales; Papaveraceae. The record is from RefSeq and is a predicted model, not a curated record.